Molecule: ribosomal RNA, 810 nt
Filed under: uncultured organism
Description: bacterial SSU rRNA
Rfam family: Bacterial small subunit ribosomal RNA
Source: RNAcentral
AACGCUGGCGGUCUGCUUACACAUGCAAGUCGAACGCAACCUUCGGGUUGAGUGGCGGACGGGUGAGUAACGCGUGAGAAUCUGCCUUGGGGUCGGGGACAACCACUGGAAACGGUGGCUAAUACCGGAUAAGCCUUUGGGUAAAAGAUUUAUUGCCCCAAGAGGAGCUCGCGUCUGAUUAGCUAGUUGGUGAGGUAAGAGCUCACCAAGGCAGCGAUCAGUAGCUGGUCUGAGAGGACGAUCAGCCACACUGGGACUGAGACACGGCCCAGACUCCUACGGGAGGCAGCAGUGGGGAAUUUUCCGCAAUGGGCGAAAGCCUGACGGAGCAAGACCGCGUGAGGGAGGAAGGCUCUUGGGUUGUAAACCUCUUUUCUCAGGGAAGAAGCUCUGACGGUACCUGAGGAAUCAGCCUCGGCUAACUCCGUGCCAGCAGCCGCGGUAAUACGGAGGAGGCAAGCGUUAUCCGGAAUUAUUGGGCGUAAAGCGUCCGCAGGUGGCGAUUCAAGUCUGCUGUCAAAGCACGGGGCUUAACUCCGUUAAGGCAGUGGAAACUGAAUAGCUAGAGUGCCGUAGGGGUAGAGGGAAUUCCCGGUGUAGCGGUGAAAUGCGUAGAGAUCGGGAAGAACAUCGGUGGCGAAAGCGCUCUACUGGACGGCAACUGACACUCAGGGACGAAAGCUACGGGAGCGAAUGGGAUUAGAUACCCCAGUAGUCCUAGCUGUAAACGAUGGAUACUAGGUGUAGCUUGUAUCGACCCGAGCUGUGCCGAAGCUAACGCGUUAAGUAUCCCGNCUGGGGAGUACGCAC